RNAcentral lists this ribosomal RNA (253 nucleotides) under uncultured bacterium. Its description in RNAcentral is "partial 16S ribosomal RNA". It matches the Rfam family "Bacterial small subunit ribosomal RNA", at positions 524 to 776 of the family's 1533-position model. The record is from RNAcentral.
UACGUAGGGACCGAGCGUUGUCCGGAUUCAUUGGGCGUAAAGAGCUCGUAGGCGGCUGUUCAAGUCGAACGUGAAAACUCGGAGCUCAACUCCGAGCCUGCGUUCGAUACUGGACGGCUAGAGUGUGGUAGGGGAGAUCGGAAUUCCUGGUGUAGCGGUGAAAUGCGCAGAUAUCAGGAGGAACACCGGUGGCGAAGGCGGAUCUCUGGGCCAUUACUGACGCUGAGGAGCGAAAGCGUGGGGAGCGAACAGG